UCUGCCUCCCUGACCUGUUCUUCCUCUCAGCCAUCCCUUCCUCCCACCCCAAGCCGCACCCCCAUCUACCUACUAACCUCAUCCCACCUCCUUGACCUGUCCGUCUUCCCUGGACUGACCUUUUCUCUCCUCUCCACCUUCGGUCCGCCUCCCCCUCUCUCCCUAUUUAUUCCAGUUCCCUCUCCCCGUCCCCCUCUCUCCCUAUUUAUUCCAGUUCCCUCUCCCCGUCCCCCUCUCUGAUGAAGGGUCUAGGCCCGAAACGUCAGCUUUUGUGCUCCUGAGAUGCUGCUCGGCCUGCUGUGCUCAUCCAGCCUCACAUUUUAUUAUUUUAGGAGAGAGAGCUGUUUUGGUUUGUGAUACAAGAGACGAGGCUGUCUAUGCCUUUCACCCAUCGGUAGCUCUCCUCCUGUCCCUGCCUCUAUGCACACACUCUGCCAGGCAUAGUCUUCCUCCCUCUGUGUGUGUGUGUCUCUCUCUCUCGCUUCAGCUCCUAAAACCUAAGAUGCAUCGGAUAUAAAAACACGCACAUAAACACACACACACACACACACACACACAUCAACAAGCCAUGGGGAAAGAUCAGGAAUUACUGCAAGCUGUCAAAACCGAAGAUGUAGCUGCAAUGCAGAAGCUGUUGCAAAGGCCGAAACAAGGCAAAGCGAGACACAAUCAUCGCCUUGGAAGCUUCAUCACGAUACUACUUUGCAUUUCUGAAGAGGGAAGAAGAAUCAAUGUGCAAAUUCAAUUCCAUGGUUUUGGAAGUCCCAUUGAGAACACGAUUCAUUUGCGCCGGCAUAAUGCUCUGACCGAGAAAGAAUUGAAGUUUCCACUUGGAAGAAAGAUUCACAUCAAAUUGACUGGUCAAGGAAAUGGGACACUGACUAACCAUACGAUUAGACUGUUUUGAUGAGAAAUUUAAAGAUUACGUGUCCCAUCCGUUUGACUCACAGUUUGGUACCAUAGGUUGGUACGAUCUUCGUUGGAGAAGGAAAAGGGAUGUUCCAGAUACAGAAAACCGUCAAACCAUUUACAACAAAGUCCAUUUCUGAACCAUACGAUGAGACUGUUUUGAUGAGGAAUUGAAAGAUUAUGUGUCCCAUCCAUUUGACUCACAGUUUGGUACCAUAGGUUGGUACGAUCUUCGUUGGAGAAGGAAAAGGGAUGUUCCAGAUACAGAAAAUCGUCAAACCAUUUACGACAAAGUCCGUUUCUGGUCCUUAUGGGAACAGGAAAAAUGACAAGCUGGAAAAUUUUGCAAGUAAUCUUUGGGCCAGCCUGGAAUCUUCCCAUCCUCUGGCCAUGACCUUGUGACCCUGCUUGGAGGUUGUAGUUACAGUUUCAGAAGUGAUCAAUUCCAGUGAGGAUGUCUGUACUAAGGUGAAAGCUCACGCACAGUUCUUCACGACGGGAAAAAUGGCUCCAUUCAGACUCUGGAGAUUCAGGUAUCCCACUGAGAAUCGUUGUCUCCUUCAUCAUUCACCUUAUUCCAGUCACCUGUCCUGCUCUGUGUGAUUUCUGUUCAUUCUCUCAGUCAUGCUUGUCUGAGGGGAUAGCCACGACUGUAGCCCUGUUGUUGACUUGUGCAGUAUCCUCACAGUCAGGGAAUGCUUCCCCAUUCCUGAGAGAUUUCAGCUGGCUUAAACAGCUCUGAAAACCACUAAACACUUUUACAAGAGUCAGCGGAAAUCCACUUGCAUCUAACCUGUAAGUCGUUGGUGAUAUCUCUAUCCUCACUGCACUGGAUGAAGAGAGGAUUGUAACUGGAAUACUGAGGUCAAAACAUAUACCAUUAGCAUCCAAGCAGCAUUACGCAUACUUCCAUCAGAAUGUGAAUCAGAUGACAGGGAUUAUACCUAGCACUUGGAGAACUGACAGAAACCCCAGGUUACCGUGUCAGGAAAGUUCCAGUGAAUGAAGUGCCAACCGAGCACUUACCAUUCGGGGGCAGUCUGUGGCUAAAACCCCACUCACUGAGAGAUGCUGGCCAAACAGAGACUAGUGUCUCGCCAUUGCAGGUGGUGCCACCAGGAAGGGUGGCUGAUGCUGGUACUGCAAUUAAUCCAAUGCUAUUAGUGAGUCAUGAACAAAUUGGGGUCGUGGGAGAGGUUUUCUGGCCAGGGAAUCAGGAGGUUGUAAGAAAAGGUAGUCAGGUGCUAUCUGUUUGCCAUCGCUACUAAUAUGGCAUGGCGGAUCAAUGGUUAGCACUGCUGCCUCACAGCUCCAGGGACCCAGGUUCAAUUCCAACCUCAGGUGACUGUCUGUGUGGAGUUUGCACAUUCUGUAUAUGUCUGCAUGGGUUUCCUCUGGGUGCUCCAGUUUCCUCCCACAGUCCAAAGAUGUGCAGGUUAGAUGGCUUGGCCAUGCUAAGUUGCUAAGAGUGUCCAGGUAUGUGUGGGUUAGGUGGGUUAUAGUGGAAGUUCCUACUGCAGUUCCUACUAUCUCUGAAGCAUUUUAUUCCUAUCUGCUUUCUCCUGAGCACUCA
This is a long non-coding RNA of Stegostoma tigrinum, 2482 nucleotides long. RefSeq lists it as uncharacterized. The transcript is spliced from 6 exons. NCBI's taxonomy places the organism in Eukaryota, Metazoa, Chordata, Chondrichthyes, Orectolobiformes, Stegostomatidae. The record is from RefSeq and is a predicted model, not a curated record.